RNAcentral lists this transfer RNA (65 nucleotides) under Tabanus amaenus. RNAcentral's name for it is "tRNA-Cys". The record is from RNAcentral. Lineage: Eukaryota; Metazoa; Arthropoda; Insecta; Diptera; Tabanidae.
GGCUUUAUAGUCAAUAAUGAUAUUAGACUGCAAUUCUAAAGGAGUAAUAUUUGUUACUAAGGCUU